GACGAACGCUGGCGGCAGGCCUAACACAUGCAAGUCGAGCGCCCCGCAAGGGGAGCGGCGGACGGGUGAGUAACACGUGGGAAUUUUCCUCAAGGUACGGAACAACUCAGGGAAACUUGGGCUAAUACCGUAUGAUGCAGAGAUGCCAAAGAUUUAUCGCCUUGGGAUAAGCCCGCGUCAGAUUAGGUAGUUGGUGGGGUAAUGGCCUACCAAGCCUGUGAUCUGUAGCUGGUCUGAGAGGACGAUCAGCCACAUUGGGACUGAGACACGGCCCAAACUCCUACGGGAGGCAGCAGUGGGAAUCUUGCGCAAUGGACGAAAGUCUGACGCAGCCAUGCCGCGUGAAUGAUGAAGGUCUUAGGAUUGUAAAGUUCUUUAGCCUGUGACGAUGAUGACGGUAACAGGAGAAUAAGCCCCGG
RNAcentral lists this ribosomal RNA (419 nucleotides) under uncultured bacterium. RNAcentral describes it as "bacterial SSU rRNA". It matches the Rfam family "Bacterial small subunit ribosomal RNA", at positions 28 to 496 of the family's 1533-position model. The record is from RNAcentral.